ACGGAGGGUGCAAGCGUUAAUCGGAAUCACUGGGCGUAAAGCGCACGUAGGCUGUUGUGUAAGUCAGGGGUGAAAUCCCACGGCUCAACCGUGGAACUGCCCUUGAUACUGCACGACUUGAAUCCGGGAGAGGGUGGCGGAAUUCCAGGUGUAGGAGUGAAAUCCGUAGAUAUCUGGAGGAACAUCAGUGGCGAAGGCGGCCACCUGGACCGGUAUUGACGCUGAGGUGCGAAAGCGUGGGGAGCAAACAG
Molecule: ribosomal RNA, 251 nt
Filed under: uncultured bacterium
Lineage: Bacteria
Description: partial 16S ribosomal RNA
Rfam family: Bacterial small subunit ribosomal RNA
Source: RNAcentral